RNAcentral lists this ribosomal RNA (470 nucleotides) under uncultured bacterium. Its description in RNAcentral is "partial 16S ribosomal RNA". It matches the Rfam family "Bacterial small subunit ribosomal RNA", at positions 28 to 507 of the family's 1533-position model. The record is from RNAcentral.
GACGAACGCUGGCGGCGUGCUUAACACAUGCAAGUCGAACGGUGAACGAGGGAGCUUGCUCCCUCCGGAUCAGUGGCGAACGGGUGAGUAACACGUGAGCAAUCUGCCCCGAACUCUGGGAUAAGCGUUGGAAACGACGUCUAAUACCGGAUACGACGCGGGAGGGCAUCCUCUCCGCGUGGAAAGAACUUCGGUUCGGGAUGAGCUCGCGGCCUAUCAGCUUGUUGGUGAGGUAACGGCUCACCAAGGCGACGACGGGUAGCCGGCCUGAGAGGGUGACCGGCCACACUGGGACUGAGACACGGCCCAGACUCCUACGGGAGGCAGCAGUGGGGAAUAUUGCACAAUGGGCGCAAGCCUGAUGCAGCAACGCCGCAUGAGGGACGACGGCCUUCGGGUUGUAAACCUCUUUUAGCAGGGAAGAAGCGAAAGUGACGGUACCUGCAGAAAAAGCACCGGCUAACUACGUG